RNAcentral lists this long non-coding RNA (1000 nucleotides) under Apteryx haastii (Great spotted kiwi). RNAcentral describes it as "lncRNA (ENSAHAG00000009040.1)". The record is from RNAcentral. Lineage: Eukaryota; Metazoa; Chordata; Aves; Apterygiformes; Apterygidae.
CUGGCAGAGCCAUCAGUGAAAUCGAUGCCCGCCCUCCUCCUCCUGCCAGCCAAUAGUAGGGCUGCACUGGGAGAUGCCAUGGCAACGUUGGGCCCUCCUGCCCUGGUGGCCAGCUCCGCCCUCUCCUCCCGCGGUGGGCGCCAUGUUGUGGGCGGCAGCGCAGGGCGCGCCGGGGCUCUGCGCCCUGGGGGCCGUGUGGGGCGCAGGGGGCAGCACUGGGGCCUGUGCUGGUGGCAGCCCUGGUGCCGGUGUGGGGGCCCUGGGGCUGGCCGGGGCACCGGAGCCCACAGGCAGCGUCCUGUUGCCCCCAGGGCAGGGCAGGGCAGGGCAGUGUCCUCUCGCCCCUCCUUCCCCAUCAGGACCCUCAGGCAGGGCUCUCGUGGCAGCCCCCAGCCCUGUCCAGCCACCCCCACAGCCCAGCAUCCACAGCAGUUUUGGCAGUUAACAGUCUCUGUGCGACACCUUGGGAAGGAGCUCCAGAAGCCCUUACCAUCGGUGGAGAGGAGCCUCAGGAGCGUUGGGAACAAGGAACAGCAGUGUGGGCUGAUAGUAUCGGUCCAGCAGUCGUCCAUCUCACUUGCCUCCUUGCCCUCGUUUCACCUCUCCAGCUGGGGAGGAAGGACACUCUUCCCAUCUCAUCACCAAAACACCCCUCCGACGUGCCCCUACUCCUCUGCCUGUCGGUGAAGGUCCCAACGUGGCUCCCGUCCCUCCUCCUUACCAUGGCAUGGCUCCAAACGGCAGCAGUGAGGAGCGCAUCAGCAGUGCCCAGCAGCAACUGGGCCUCACAGGGAUGUGAGGACAUCGCUGCAGAACCAGGGAGACCUCCCUGUGAUGCGGCACAUCCCACUGUGACCUCGGCUUGUGUCAUCUGAGGGCUCAGUAGGUCGCUGCCAUGGAGAUGGCCCAGCCAGGGAGAGAGCAGAGAGAUUUCUCCUGACAUCCUGGAAGCAGUCACCUCCCUUCACCGCAGUUAUUUUCCAAAACUUGCUGAUAAAUC